Molecule: long non-coding RNA, 2447 nt
Organism: Mangifera indica (mango)
Lineage: Eukaryota; Viridiplantae; Streptophyta; Magnoliopsida; Sapindales; Anacardiaceae
Exons: 5
Source: RefSeq, a predicted model, not a curated record
UGAAGUUGAUGACUGUAAAGGCAUUCGGACGUCGAAGCGGAUAUGGCAAUGGCGUGGCCUUUCCUCAUUCGGGGUAUCUUACAGGUCAGAUUUAGCUAAGCGGGAGCCUCUUUAACUGCCUCUGGUCAGAGCUAUUCGAUUAUUUCAUUUUUAUGGAGUUCCAUUUAGUCUCUUCUGUUCUUAUCGUUAGGCGCCAUUCUAGUCUCUUAUUUCGCGUAAACUUCAGUGAACGAUCAGUGUUAUCUGCUCUCAGUAUAACUAGCAAUUCUAACACAGCAAAAUGUCUCACAAGGAUCAUGCGGUUUAUAUAUUUUUUUUUGUUGGACAGUGUUCCACCUCUUUCUGCUGCUUCAAUCUAAUGCAGAAAAAAUGGUUCUGUUUAAAAUUUUGGAUUUGAUUUUACAAUAUUAUAUAUUUUGCCUUUCUUUUUCCCUUAAUGGCUAUUAAGUUAUAUGUCACUCAGCGAACAGAAUGAGAGAGUAAUGAAAAUUUUGAACUCGGUUGCUCCAUCCAUAAUUUAUUAAAUGAAAUGUCCAUGGUUUAUGUAGAUUCUUAGUUUUAAGUGCUAUAUAGAUCCUUGUUGUGAGGCUUGCCGUGUGCUGUCAUGCAAAAUCAAUAUACUCUUUAUAAAAAAGGCAUCUUUGAAGUUUGGAAAGAAUCCAGGUGGAGAACUUGAUUCUAGAGUUUCCUGUAUGGAACCCAGCUUGAAUACUCAUCAAGCUUUUGCGUGAGUCCAUUUUCAGUACUAACAGUACAGGUUUGGGCUUUUUAAAACUUAGCCACACACAACAACCUCCAAAAAUGAACGGUGUCAUUGAUGGCAAGCAAGGGGAAUUAUGCGAUGAAGAUAAUGAUCUCUGUCCUGUUAAAUGUCUUAGAGAGUUUAAGACCCAUGAAAAGGUCCUUAAAAUUCUUGAAAAGGCUAGAGAAACAGAUCCUUUAGUUGUGGUAGAUUUUUUUUGAACUUCUUGUGGAAGCUCCAUGUACAUAGAGCAAGGGUUUGCAAAAUUAUACUAGGGAUCUGGUGAUGAGGAAGCUACAGUAAUCUUCUUAAAACGUAAUGUGAGUAUUUCAUUAGCUUAACUUUUCAAGAUUGCAUACAACUUAUACUUGCUUACAUUAAAAAAUGCCCAGAGUGCUAUAUGGAAAACAUGACUACUUAAGAUUGUAUGAGUGAUAAGUUAAAGAGUGCCUACUCUCCUGCAAGCUACUGAUUCUGAUCCAUGUGUUUUUAUUCGAACUUUGCAUGUCAAUUUCAUUGUUGAUAGUGAAUAGCAACCGCUUCUGCUUGAGAAUUUGAUUUGAAGUGUUGAUUUAUGGUUAUGGAGAAUAGAUCCCUAUUUAGGAAUCCUGCAGAGUGGGUCUUGCCCUGCCCUAGUCAGUUGAUAAUCAGCUGAGCUUGGAGUUCUCUUACAAAUACUAAAAAUAAGUAAUUGAUGAGUAUGAUGAACAAUCUGAAGUAGCUGAAUGACUGAGAAUAAAGCGAGCUACAAGAUGGUUUAUACUGUUGAUUUUGUUUUACAUCAAAUCACACCUGCUAAGAUAAUUGAAAAUUUGGAUUUGGAUGGAGCAGAGGGCACAAUCUUUUUAGAUACAGAUGAUGCCCCUCUUCAACUUUUACAAAAUGGAGUUUUACUGGAAGCAUUCCAAACCAGAGACAGAGAUAUCGUCACCGCCAUUAUUAAAUACUCAUCAUCUACAUGAUUAAGCUAAUCCGAUUAUAUCUUCAGAGCUGUUCUUCUGAAGUAAAGGAUCUGCUGUUGAAAUGUUAGACAGAAGAGUGAUUUUCAACUAUACCUGAAUUUGGAGACCAAAUGGUGGGUCAUCACAAGCAUCUCCAGCUUGGCAAGCUCAUUUCCAGGACAGGAAUGUACUCCACUUCCAAAUGGCAUAAAUGUGUUGGGCUUUGGCGCAACCUUCACAUACACCAUGAGGAACAAACAAAAUUUCAGGAAAAGACUUGUUUUAAAACUCACAAACACCUCAACCAUAAAACUAGUAAAAAAUCUUUCACCAAAAAUCAAGAAAAAAGAAACCCCAACAUAAACAUAUUUACCAAUUUAUACCUCAAAUCUUGAAGGAUCAAAUUUUUGAGGAUCAGUAAAAAAUUCAGGAUUGUGGUGAUUGUUCCUGAACAAAGGCAUCGCUUUCCAUCCUUUUGGAAUCAGGUACCCUGUGGCCAAUACUACCGUCAGUCAUCUCCUUAAAAUGCCAUUUUUAAGUUCCUGAAGAGGUCAUGUUUGCUUUUAAACUUUUUACACAGUUUAAUUUGAUCAUCUUACCCUUGUAUUCUACAUCAGCCACUGCUUCUCUGAAGGUGAAAGAUAUAAUGCUUGCCAUUCUCAGACUCUCUAAUAUGACCUGAAUAAGUCCAUUUUUCCCUGCUGUUAGUAACUUAGUCCAAUAAAAACAAGCUUUUCAUUAUAACUAAAUGAUUGUCUUUGCCA